GAUGAACGCUGGCGGCGUGCCUAAUACAUGCAAGUCGAGCGAACGGACGAGAAGCUUGCUUUUCUGAUGUUAGCGGCGGACGGGUGAGUAACACGUGGAUAACCUACCUAUAAGACUGGGAUAACUUCGGGAAACCGGAGCUAAUACCGGAUAAUAUUUUGAACCGCAUGGUUCAAAAGUGAAAGACGGUCUUGCUGUCACUUAUAGAUGGAUCCGCGCUGCAUUAGCUAGUUGGUAAGGUAACGGCUUACCAAGGCAACGAUGCAUAGCCGACCUGAGAGGGUGAUCGGCCACACUGGAACUGAGACACGGUCCAGACUCCUACGGGAGGCAGCAGUAGGGAAUCUUCCGCAAUGGGCGAAAGCCUGACGGAGCAACGCCGCGUGAGUGAUGAAGGUCUUCGGAUCGUAAAACUCUGUUAUUAGGGAAGAACAUAUGUGUAAGUAACUGUGCACAUCUUGACGGUACCUAAUCAGAAAGCCACGGCUAACUACGUGCCAGCAGCCGCGGUAAUACGUAGGUGGCAAGCGUUAUCCGGAAUUAUUGGGCGUAAAGCGCGCGUAGGCGGUUUUUUAAGUCUGAUGUGAAAGCCCACGGCUCAACCGUGGAGGGUCAUUGGAAACUGGAAAACUUGAGUGCAGAAGAGGAAAGUGGAAUUCCAUGUGUAGCGGUGAAAUGCGCAGAGAUGUGGAGGAACACCAGUGGCGAAGGCGACUUUCUGGUCUGUAACUGACGCUGAUGUGCGAAAGCGUGGGGAUCAAACAGGAUUAGAUACCCUGGUAGUCCACGCCGUAAACGAUGAGUGCUAAGUGUUAGGGGGUUUCCGCCCCUUAGUGCUGCAGCUAACGCAUUAAGCACUCCGCCUGGGGAGUACGACCGCAAGGUUGAAACUCAAAGGAAUUGACGGGGGCCCGCACAAGCGGUGGAGCAUGUGGUUUAAUUCGAAGCAACGCGAAGAACCUUACCAAAUCUUGACAUCCUUUGACAACUCUAGAGAUAGAGCCUUCCCCUUCGGGGGACAAAGUGACAGGUGGUGCAUGGUUGUCGUCAGCUCGUGUCGUGAGAUGUUGGGUUAAGUCCCGCAACGAGCGCAACCCUUAAGCUUAGUUGCCAUCAUUAAGUUGGGCACUCUAAGUUGACUGCCGGUGACAAACCGGAGGAAGGUGGGGAUGACGUCAAAUCAUCAUGCCCCUUAUGAUUUGGGCUACACACGUGCUACAAUGGACAAUACAAAGGGCAGCGAAACCGCGAGGUCAAGCAAAUCCCAUAAAGUUGUUCUCAGUUCGGAUUGUAGUCUGCAACUCGACUACAUGAAGCUAGAAUCGCUAGUAAUCGUAGAUCAGCAUGCUACGGUGAAUACGUUCCCGGGUCU
Molecule: ribosomal RNA, 1372 nt
Filed under: uncultured bacterium
Lineage: Bacteria
Description: bacterial SSU rRNA
Rfam family: Bacterial small subunit ribosomal RNA
Source: RNAcentral